RNAcentral lists this ribosomal RNA (765 nucleotides) under Salmonella enterica. Its description in RNAcentral is "partial 23S ribosomal RNA". It matches the Rfam family "Bacterial large subunit ribosomal RNA", at positions 2038 to 2802 of the family's 2925-position model. Lineage: Bacteria; Pseudomonadati; Pseudomonadota; Gammaproteobacteria; Enterobacterales; Enterobacteriaceae. RNAcentral also lists the same sequence under 1 other name. The record is from RNAcentral.
GAAAUUGAACUCGCUGUGAAGAUGCAGUGUACCCGCGGCAAGACGGAAAGACCCCGUGAACCUUUACUAUAGCUUGACACUGAACAUUGAGCCUUGAUGUGUAGGAUAGGUGGGAGGCUUUGAAGUGUGGACGCCAGUCUGCAUGGAGCCGACCUUGAAAUACCACCCUUUAAUGUUUGAUGUUCUAACGUGGACCCGUAAUCCGGGUUGCGGACAGUGUCUGGUGGGUAGUUUGACUGGGGCGGUCUCCUCCUAAAGAGUAACGGAGGAGCACGAAGGUUGGCUAAUCCUGGUCGGACAUCAGGAGGUUAGUGCAAUGGCAUAAGCCAGCUUGACUGCGAGCGUGACGGCGCGAGCAGGUGCGAAAGCAGGUCAUAGUGAUCCGGUGGUUCUGAAUGGAAGGGCCAUCGCUCAACGGAUAAAAGGUACUCCGGGGAUAACAGGCUGAUACCGCCCAAGAGUUCAUAUCGACGGCGGUGUUUGGCACCUCGAUGUCGGCUCAUCACAUCCUGGGGCUGAAGUAGGUCCCAAGGGUAUGGCUGUUCGCCAUUUAAAGUGGUACGCGAGCUGGGUUUAGAACGUCGUGAGACAGUUCGGUCCCUAUCUGCCGUGGGCGCUGGAGAACUGAGGGGGGCUGCUCCUAGUACGAGAGGACCGGAGUGGACGCAUCACUGGUGUUCGGGUUGUCAUGCCAAUGGCACUGCCCGGUAGCUAAAUGCGGAAGAGAUAAGUGCUGAAAGCAUCUAAGCACGAAACUUGCCCCGA